This is a non-coding RNA of Engraulis encrasicolus (European anchovy), 416 nucleotides long. Lineage: Eukaryota; Metazoa; Chordata; Actinopteri; Clupeiformes; Engraulidae. The record is from the annotation of a RefSeq genome assembly.
CAUCAUCCUCAACACAAACCUGUCUGCUCCUGAUGCUCCUUCUACUCAGCACCACAUGGGUAGACUGUGUUGAAUACAGCCAGCCCAGCUCUGUAACCAUCAGGCCAGGAGAGUCUUUGAGUGUCACCUGCAAAGUAACUGGAGGCUCCAUUACAGACAGCAGCAAAAACUUUUGCAUAUCCUGGAUACGACAGCCAUCAGGGAAAGGUCUGGAGUGGGUCAAUCGCCUCUGUUAUAAUGCAGACUUGUACUACAAAGAGUCACUGAAGAGCAAGUUCAGUGUCUCCAGAGACACCUCCAGUAACACCAUCACCCUGCAAGGACAAAACAUGCAGCCUGAAGACACAGCUGUCUAUUACUGCGCUCGAGAUCCCCACAGUGAUACAAAACAGCUUCAGACCCGUACAAAAACUUAA